GAUCACAGCUCCAAGUGAGAUGGGAGCCCUGUAAGUGUUCACAGCUGAACUGAGUCACGGGUGGCUGAAACACUGUGCAGGUUAAUGACAUCUGAUUGGAAAAAGGAGGCCCUGACACUCAUCAGAAGGGCUGCAGCUUUGAGCUAGUGAUGAAUACAUUGGUGCAAAAACAGUAAUAGCUCUGUAAAUUCCCCUACCUCUUAAUUACCAGGCUUUCCCCUCGCAUGGUUUGGCAGGUGUAAGUAUAAAGGAAAGGCUGAGGAGGUAAAAGCAUCCUGUUGUAAAGACAUGGGAUGGAGCAAGAGACAGGUUCUACCAGAGAUGGAUCUGCUGGUAGAACCUGUCCAUGCAUCCAGCUGGUUCACAUGAAUAUUCCCUUUCUUCCAGAUGCUGCAUGCAAACUGCAGCAGAGGCAAGCUCAGUGGUUCACCUACAAGCAGCAACCACAGCUUCAGGAGGCAGAUUUUCCAGCUGGUAGAGAUCCAGCAGAAAGGGGAAAAGGCAAAGCAGCAGUUAUUGUGGGAGCACCCAUUACAAAUGGCGCAGUUCUACAGCAGAGGUCACCUCGUCAUGGAGAUUCCCAAAUCCUCCUCAGGACACCAUAAGGAUGCAACAGAGCAGACCCCAUCCAGGCUGCAGGCUGAUCUUUGCUCUGCACCUUAGAGAGCUGGGCACUUUUAAUGGAAGCAUGUUUCAGGCAAGUGAGAGCGGUAAGUAUCUGUGUCAACG
This 729-nucleotide long non-coding RNA is filed under the name Gallus gallus (chicken). RNAcentral's name for it is "long non-coding RNA NONGGAT004880". Lineage: Eukaryota; Metazoa; Chordata; Aves; Galliformes; Phasianidae. The record is from RNAcentral.